This 253-nucleotide ribosomal RNA is filed under the name uncultured bacterium. RNAcentral's name for it is "partial 16S ribosomal RNA". It matches the Rfam family "Bacterial small subunit ribosomal RNA", at positions 524 to 776 of the family's 1533-position model. The record is from RNAcentral.
UACGUAGGUGGCAAGCGUUAUCCGGAAUUAUUGGGCGUAAAGCGCGCGUAGGCGGUUUUUUAAGUCUGAUGUGAAAUCCCACGGCUCAACCGUGGAAGGUCAUUGGAAACUGGAAAACUUGAGUGUAGAAGAGGAAAGUGGAAUUCCAUGUGUAGCGGUGAAAUGCGCAGAGAUAUGGAGGAACACCAGUGGCGAAGGCGACUUUCUGGUCUGCGACUGACGCUCAGGUGCGAAAGCGUGGGGAGCAAACAGG